UCCCUGAUGGCUCAGUGGUAAAGAAAUCUGCCUGCCAAUGCAGGGGACACAGGUUCGAUCCCUGAUCUGGGAA
This 73-nucleotide transfer RNA is filed under the name Capra hircus (goat). It matches the Rfam family "tRNA". From Rfam's summary of the family: Transfer RNA (tRNA) molecules are approximately 80 nucleotides in length. Their secondary structure includes four short double-helical elements and three loops (D, anti-codon, and T loops). Further hydrogen bonds mediate the characteristic L-shaped molecular structure. tRNAs have two regions of fundamental functional importance: the anti-codon, which is responsible for specific mRNA codon recognition, and the 3' end, to which the tRNAs corresponding amino acid is attached (by aminoacyl-tRNA synthetases). tRNAs cope with the degeneracy of the genetic code in two manners: having more than one tRNA (with a specific anti-codon) for a particular amino acid; and 'wobble' base-pairing, i.e. permitting non-standard base-pairing at the 3rd anti-codon position. RNAcentral also lists the same sequence under 1 other name. The record is from Rfam by way of RNAcentral. Lineage: Eukaryota; Metazoa; Chordata; Mammalia; Artiodactyla; Bovidae.